UAGGGAAUCUUCCGCAAUGGACGCAAGUCUGACGGAGCAACGCCGCGUGAGUGAAGAAGGAUUUCGGUUCGUAAAACUCUGUUGUUAGAGAAGAACAGCGCAUAGAGUAACUGUUAUGCGUGUGACGGUAUCUAACCAGAAAGCCACGGCUAACUACGUGCCAGCAGCCGCGGUAAUACGUAGGUGGCAAGCGUUGUCCGGAUUUAUUGGGCGUAAAGCGAGCGCAGGCGGUCAAUUAAGUCUGAUGUGAAAGCCCCCGGCUCAACCGGGGAGGGUCAUUAGAAACUGGAAAACUUGAGUGCAGAAGAGGAAAGUGGAAUUCCAUGUGUAGCUGUGAAAUGCGCAGAGAUAUGGAGGAACACCAGUGGCGAAGGCGACUUUCUGGUCUGUAACUGACGCUGAUGUGCGAAAGCGUGGGGAUCAAACAGG
Molecule: ribosomal RNA, 429 nt
Filed under: Bacteroidota bacterium
Lineage: Bacteria; Pseudomonadati; Bacteroidota
Description: Bacteroidetes bacterium partial 16S ribosomal RNA
Rfam family: Bacterial small subunit ribosomal RNA
Source: RNAcentral